UGCCUGCAAUAGUAAAUCCUCUUUUGCAACCCAGAACUCAUUGCUGAUAUGAGAUUUUGGUACAUGUAAGAAGGAAUAUG
Dipodomys ordii (Ord's kangaroo rat) is the source of this 80-nucleotide small nucleolar RNA. The record is from Ensembl. Lineage: Eukaryota; Metazoa; Chordata; Mammalia; Rodentia; Heteromyidae.